This 463-nucleotide ribosomal RNA is filed under the name uncultured bacterium. RNAcentral describes it as "partial 16S ribosomal RNA". It matches the Rfam family "Bacterial small subunit ribosomal RNA", at positions 28 to 507 of the family's 1533-position model. The record is from RNAcentral.
GAUGAACGCUGACAGAAUGCUUAACACAUGCAAGUCUUUGGCGAAGCUGUGCUUGCACAGCCUAGCCAAGGCGGACGGGUGAGUAACGCGUAAGGAACUUGCCCUGCAGUCAGGGAUAACAGACGGAAACGACUGAUGAGACCUGGUAAAGUCAGGCGGACUCAUGUCCAGCCUGAUGAAAAGAGAUGCUGCAGGAGAGCCUUGCGUCCUAUUAGCUUGUUGGUGGGGUAACGGCCCACCAAGGCGAUGAUAGGUAGCCGGCCUGAGAGGGUGGACGGCCACAAGGGGACUGAGAUACGGCCCUUACUCCUACGGGAGGCGGCAGUGGGGAAUAUUGGACAAUGGGGGCAACCCUGAUCCAGCAAUUCUGUGUGCACGAUGAAGGUUUUCGGAUUGUAAAGUGCUUUCAGCAGGGAGGAAAAAAAUGACGGUACCUGCAGAAGAAGCGACGGCUAAAUACGUG